RNAcentral lists this ribosomal RNA (253 nucleotides) under uncultured bacterium. Its description in RNAcentral is "partial 16S ribosomal RNA". It matches the Rfam family "Bacterial small subunit ribosomal RNA", at positions 524 to 776 of the family's 1533-position model. The record is from RNAcentral.
UACGUAGGGUGCAAGCGUUAAUCGGAAUUACUGGGCGUAAAGCGUGCGCAGGCGGUUUUGUAAGACUGUCGUGAAAUCCCCGGGCUUAACCUGGGAAUGGCGAUGGUGACUGCAAGGCUAGAGUUUGGCAGAGGGGGGUAGAAUUCCACGUGUAGCAGUGAAAUGCGUAGAGAUGUGGAGGAACACCGAUGGCGAAGGCAGCCCCCUGGGUCAAAACUGACGCUCAUGCACGAAAGCGUGGGUAGCAAACAGG